UAAUAUACAAAUUGUAAAGUUAUGUUUACACUCUAUAUCACCUUUCUAAUUCCGAAAACGAAAAUAUGAAUACUAAGUCAAAGUUUGUUGUGUUAAACUAUUAACAAAAGAGGAAUAUGUAAUGGCAUAUGCUUAAACCAAACGAAGUUGAUAAAAAAAAAAAAAAAAGGUUUGUAAAUUCUUAACAAGCACUGUAAGAUAUAAUCAGGUUGAAGUUUAUAUAAUUAGAUGAAACAAAACAAAAUAUUGAAAUGCAAAGAUUAAAAAGAUAGUAAACACGGGACCAGAGAUUAAGAUUAGGGGAGAUUAUGUCGACGAAAGAGACAAAACUUAAAUCCAGACGAUAACGUUUGUGCCUUUGUGGAGUGCAAGCAAAACAAGGCCUUGGCUUGCCUCUAUUGAGCAGAUUACAUCUGUUUCGUUUUCUCCCCUUUUUUAUUUUUUUUUCUUUAAUUGUUUCCUCCUUUUUUUUGUUUGCCUUUGUGCCAAAAAUAAAUAAAUAAUAAUAAUAAUAAUUGAAUAAACUGAUUUUAUAAUAAUACAAAGGAAGGCUCACAAGUCACAAAUAUGCAGACAAGUUUAUGGUUUAGAUCUUGCGAAAUCAUUACAAAAUAUCGAAAAGAGAUUUUGCAUAUAUUACCAGUAAAGACGAAAGAGAUAAAGAAAUGCAAAAUAGAAUAAUUUUAUCAGAGAACAACAACAUAUACAGAUCUCUAUCUUUUUUUUUUACUAUCACUAUUGGUAUAAUCGUUUACUCAAAACGUACACAUAACACAUGUAUCAUGUAUGUAUACUUAAAUAGUGAAUUGUGUGACCUUUAUUUGCAAUCAUUUUUUCAAAAUAUAAUUAGGGAAUUUACUCAAGAGCUGAGUCCAAGAAAAAUAAACAAAGUUUCUCGAAUUAUAGAGGAAUUAUGAGGCGACAAGACACAUGGAGAAAAAAAUGAAGAAGCAAUAAUACAGAGAGGAACUAUAGAGCAACAAAACACAACACUGCUUUACAACUCUCCCUAUUCUUAGUGUUGCCAAAACCAUCAUAAUAGAGAUACAACUCAACAAGGUCCUCUUGAUUUAAAUCGCCAAUUAUAAUAAUACAUACAUACAUACAUUAUCAAGGCUUACUUUUUUGUUGUAAUUAUUUUUUCUUCAAUAAAGAAAAAAAAAAAGAAAAAAAGACAGAUCAAAACUAUUUCAAGGACCGAAGUGAUUGUCCCUACAAAAGCAUUUUGUAAUAUGGAAAAGAUAUGGUCAGAGAAGCACAAAAGGAAGGAAGGAAGGAGUCAUGGAAUUGGAUAAGCUCUUUAUGGGUCCCAAAUUCCUCAAUUUCAUUUUCUAGAGAUUAGAGAGAGAGAGANNNNNNNNNNNNNNNNNNNNNNNNNNNNNNNNNNNNNNNNNNNNNNNNNNNNNNNNNNNNNNNNNNNNNNNNNNNNNNNNNNNNNNNNNNNNNNNNNNNNAGAGAGAGAGAGAGAGAAAGAGAAGUUUCCAAAAACAACAAUUAUCUCUCUAAAUAUUAUAAUAUUCCCUAGUCCCCCCACUCACUAACUCAGUACCAUCAAACUAUAUAUAAUCACCACUUUGAAUCACCCAAGGCAACAAACCAAACCAAAACCACCAUAAGCUAACAAACAAACAAACACAGAACAGAGAGAGAUGUUUUCAGAUCACUUACCUUCUUCAUCUCAAGUCUUCCAAGAACACUUCAUCUCCAGAAAAUUGCUUCAGCAGUUUCAUCACACCACUACUCAACAAGCUCAUGUACCUGAUAGGAACAACUUGAGCGGCAACGUUCUCCUGCUGCUCUCUAUCCUUUUAUGUGGUAUCAUCUGCUCUCUCGGGUUGCAUUACAUCAUUCGCUGUGCAUUCAGACGCUCUCGAAGUUUCAUGAUCUCUGAUCCCAUCUCUAGCCCCUCCACACCACGAGGUUCAGAGGAAGUAAGCAAAGGGAUCAAGAAGAAGGCUCUCAAGAUGUUCCCAGUAGUCAAUUACUCACCAGAGAUUAACCUCUCAGGGCUCGGCGAGGAGUGUGUCAUCUGUUUGUCUGAUUUUGCUGCCGGAGAACAGCUACGUCUGCUUCCCAAGUGCAA
This 2083-nucleotide long non-coding RNA is filed under the name Capsella rubella. RNAcentral describes it as "long non-coding RNA (CRUB_LNC003676)". Lineage: Eukaryota; Viridiplantae; Streptophyta; Magnoliopsida; Brassicales; Brassicaceae. The record is from RNAcentral.